UAGAACAAAUUUUCAAAACAUAAUAUUAAUAAAGAAAUAAUUUAUUAACUAUAAAACAACAUAUAAGCCCUCGCUCACCUGGUGACUUCGUCGUUCUCUGUUUAAUGGCCAUGUUAUUUCCAAAAAGUUGUUCAACAUUCCUAUAAAUACUAAAUUGCUCUGUGAUUUUAUCUUGCACAGAUUCUUUAGGUAUCAACUUCUCAAUGCAUUCAUAGUAUCCACUCCUCAAAGGUUCAUCUCCUAGAAUCCUCUCUUCAUUGGCGUAAAACAGUUUCGGGUUCAAAACAAGUCCAGCUGCAUGCAAAAGGCUAUGAAACUUACUAUCCCACCUUUUAACUAUGA
RNAcentral lists this long non-coding RNA (342 nucleotides) under Nicotiana benthamiana. RNAcentral describes it as "long non-coding RNA (NBEN_LNC033036)". The record is from RNAcentral. Lineage: Eukaryota; Viridiplantae; Streptophyta; Magnoliopsida; Solanales; Solanaceae.